Molecule: long non-coding RNA, 1275 nt
Filed under: Nothobranchius furzeri (turquoise killifish)
Lineage: Eukaryota; Metazoa; Chordata; Actinopteri; Cyprinodontiformes; Nothobranchiidae
Description: lncRNA (ENSNFUG00015005494.1)
Source: RNAcentral
GUCUCAGGAAGUUCAUCCUCUGCUGGGCCUUUUUUUAUGACGGAGGCAAGGGCGUCAGUUUGUUUUCAGAAUUGCUGGGGACAAUAACCAUACACUUGAGUGGGGUUUAAAAAUUGCUGGGGACAAUAACCAUACACUUGAGUGGGGUUUAAAAAUUGCUGGGGACAAUAAAGUAGGCUAGCACAGGGGUCAGCAAUCUGCGGCUCUGGAGCCGCAUGCGGCUCUUCCAUGAUGGGGCUCUCUGUGCUUGUAAAAUAAUGAAUGGAUAUUUAAAUAAAAUGCUUUAUAUUUUACUGCAUUAAUUUUACAUCUGUAUGCCAAUUCUAAAUGUAAAGAUUGUCUGUGUAAACCUGAACAGGUCCAACCCGGUCUUACUGUGAGACCGGGUUGAUGCGUCACGCUUGUGCGUAAUCAUAGGCGCUUCCUGAGCUGAAGAGAUUCUGGGCUUCUCCUCAGACGGCUCCUGGAUGUGUCGCCACAUUGGAGACAGGAAACAGGACCACUGCUGUAAACACACACCAACAUGAAAGAGCACAGUUGUACACACUUCAAUGCAAGCCCUUUCAUCAGCAUCUUCAACUCAGACUGAGACAGAAAACACAAACUACAUGUUGCAGCAGCACUUGAACAACUCAGAACUGUACAGUGUCUAAAACAAUAUCCUUACAUCAGCCCUGCUCAAACCCAGUUAACGUGCAGGUCACUGGUGAGAACGAUGGUAAGCGGAACAACCCUGGUAUGUAAGGGUUAAUGGGAACUGCUCUCAAACAAACACUGAUCUAGUCACAACAAAAACUCAUUUCAUGUCUUCAGUGGAGUCAUACUCUAACCGUUAAUGCACUCCUACAGCACAAUGGUCGUCAAAUCUGUGAAAAUAACUUAUUAGUCUGUGUGAAUCAAUGUACUCAUCAAUUAUCAGUAAGGAAAGCUAAAUGAAACUAAACCUAGCUAGUUUAUUCCAGGAAGCGGAAUAAGCUGUUGGUGUGAAGCAGUGAGCCUUUGAGCGGCGACUAAUUCACCAAAAAUGUUGUCCUCUGAUGACGUUUUAUUGUGCCUUUAUUGUGAAACUUUAAACGAUGCUACACACAAUCUGACUUGUGUUUAGAUGUGGUUUUUCUUUUUGCAGAUUUAAGGCUGUUCUCCUGUUUUGGUGGUCUAGCAAAGAUAUUUGUCUGCGUUAUGGAACCAAAGUACAUCUGGAAACACAUCAGGACGCUCCAGUGAACCUCAGCUUUAACUACGAUGUUUAACUAGAUAACAGUCUGGUCCCAACAU